Molecule: long non-coding RNA, 298 nt
Filed under: Phoenix dactylifera (date palm)
Lineage: Eukaryota; Viridiplantae; Streptophyta; Magnoliopsida; Arecales; Arecaceae
Description: long non-coding RNA (PDAC_LNC011253)
Source: RNAcentral
GCCCCCAAGAGUCCUCCUUUUAUAACAUCUAGGGCUCCUACAAGUUAGGAGCCCUUGAUGUAUUACCAAGAGGGGCGCCGACCCCUCUUGUUGCCGCACCAAGAGAUCCAAGGAGGAGGGGCGUGAGCCCCUCCCUCUCAUGUUGCCCUAAUCCUCAUCUAAUGAGGAUUGGGUGGCCCUAAUGUGGUUUAGCCUUAAUCCAAUUAGGCUUAGCCCAAGGGUGAACCAAUUUGGAUCCAAUCUAGGCCAGUCCUAAUCCAAUUAGGACUUGAAUGAACCAUGACUCAAUUGAACUCUU